AAUAACUCGGCGAAAGUCGGGCUAAUACCGCAUGUGAUCCUUCGGGAUUAAAGCCUUCGGGCGCUAAAGGAGGGGCCUGCGUCUGAUUAGCUUGUUGGUAAGGUAAUGGCUUACCAAGGCGAUGAUCAGUAGCUGGUUCGAGAGGAUGAUCAGCCACACUGGAACUGAGAUACGGUCCAGACUCCUACGGGAGGCAGCAGUAAGGAAUCUUCCGCAAUGGACGAAAGUCUGACGGAGCAACGCCGCGUGCAGGAUGAAGGCUUUCGGGUCGUAAACUGCUUUUGUAUGGGAAGAUUAUGACGGUACCAUACGAAUAAGGACCGGCUAACUACGUG
Molecule: ribosomal RNA, 335 nt
Filed under: uncultured bacterium
Lineage: Bacteria
Description: bacterial SSU rRNA
Rfam family: Bacterial small subunit ribosomal RNA
Source: RNAcentral